RNAcentral lists this ribosomal RNA (629 nucleotides) under Cunninghamella polymorpha. RNAcentral's name for it is "LSU rRNA". It matches the Rfam family "Eukaryotic large subunit ribosomal RNA", at positions 89 to 638 of the family's 3401-position model. Lineage: Eukaryota; Fungi; Mucoromycota; Mucoromycetes; Mucorales; Cunninghamellaceae. The record is from RNAcentral.
GCGAGUGAAGAGGGAAAAGCUCAAAGUUGGAACCUGGUAGGCAUAGCUUACCCGGAUUGUAAACUAAAGUUUUCGAGUCGUUUAGUCAGCCAGGUAAAUAAGUCCUCUGGAAAGGGGCGACAUAGAGGGUGAAAUCCCCGUCUUUGGCCUGAGUUUUGAUUAGGCGUUUGGCUUGGAAACGAAGAGUCAGGUUGUUUGGGAAUGCAGCCUAAAAUGGGAGGUAAAUCUCUCCUAAAGCUAAAUAUUGACGAAAGACCGAUAGCGAACAAGUACCGUGAGGGAAAGAUGAAAAGCACUUUGAAAAGAGGGUCAAAAAGUACGUGAAAUUGCUGAAAGGGAACCGUAUGAAAUCAGAUCUACUGGUAGGUAAUCAAUCUUUCCUUUGGGAAGGAUGCACUUGCCUACUAUGUAUGCCAGCGACAUUUUGGUUGGGAGGAAAAAAAUAAAGGAAAUGUAGCUUAGGUUUCGGCUUAGGUGUUAUAGUCCUUUAUAAAAUACUCUCGGCUGGAAUGAGGAACGCAGCAAACCGUAAGGCGAAGAUUUCAGGCGCUUAGAGGGAAUAAUUAGAGAAUUUCUGCUUCGGGUGGUGCUUUGAUUAUUACCUUUAACACGCUUGGAGUUCUUUUAAU